CAAUAGCGUAUAUUAAAGUUGUUGCAGUUAAAAAGCUCGUAGUUGGAUUUCUGGUAGGAGCGACCGUGCCGAACUUGAUUGUUCGAGUAUUGUGUUGUCUUCAGCCAUCCUCGUGGAGAACUUUUCUAACAUUAACUUGUUGGGAUUGGGACCCGCGUCGUUUACUGUGAAAAAAUUAGAGUGUUUAAAGCAGGCAUUAGCUUGAAUACAUUAGCAUGGAAUAAUAAGAUAGGACUUUGGUACUAUUUUGUUGGUUUGCAUACCAAUUAAUGAUCAACAGGAACAGUUUGAGGAUAUUCGUAUGAACAUGUCAGAGGUGAAAUUCUUGGAUUUUGAUCAGACGAACUACUGCGAAAGCAUUUAUCAAGGAUGUUUUCAUUAA
Molecule: ribosomal RNA, 382 nt
Filed under: uncultured eukaryote
Lineage: Eukaryota
Description: partial 18S ribosomal RNA
Rfam family: Eukaryotic small subunit ribosomal RNA
Source: RNAcentral